GAUGAACGCUAGCGGCAGGCUUAAUACAUGCAAGUCGUGGGGCAGCAUGAGUGUAGCAAUACAUUUGAUGGCGACCGGCAAACGGGUGCGGAACACGUACACAACCUUCCUUUAAGUGGGGAAUAGCCCAGGGAAACUUGGAUUAAUACCCCGUAACAUUAUGAGAUGGCAUCAUUUUAUAAUUAUAGCUACGGCGCUUAAUGAUGGGUGUGCGGCUGAUUAGGUAGUUGGCGGGGUAACGGCCCACCAAGCCUUCGAUCAGUAACUGGU
Molecule: ribosomal RNA, 270 nt
Filed under: uncultured bacterium
Lineage: Bacteria
Description: partial 16S ribosomal RNA
Rfam family: Bacterial small subunit ribosomal RNA
Source: RNAcentral